RNAcentral lists this ribosomal RNA (358 nucleotides) under Curtobacterium sp. cp09.07. RNAcentral describes it as "bacterial SSU rRNA". It matches the Rfam family "Bacterial small subunit ribosomal RNA", at positions 367 to 736 of the family's 1533-position model. The record is from RNAcentral. Lineage: Bacteria; Bacillati; Actinomycetota; Actinomycetes; Micrococcales; Microbacteriaceae.
UGCCAUGGGCGAAACCUGAUGCAGCAACGCCGCGUGAGGGAUGACGGCCUUCGGGUUGUAAACCUCUUUUAGUAGGGAAGAAGCUUUUGUGACGGUACCUACAGAAAAAGCACCGGCUAACUACGUGCCAGCAGCCGCGGUAAUACGUAGGGUGCAAGCGUUGUCCGGAAUUAUUGGGCGUAAAGAGCUCGUAGGCCGGUUUGUCGCGUCUGCUUGUGAAAUCCUAAGGCUCAACCUUAGACUUGCAGUGGGUACGGGCAGGCUUGAGUGCAGUAGGGGAGAUUGGAAUUCCUGGUGUAGCGGUGGAAUGCGCAGAUAUCAGGAAGAACACCGAUGGCGAAGGCAGAUCUCUGGGCCA